UACAGAGGGUGCAAGCGUUAAUCGGAGUUACUGGGCGUAAAGGGCGCGUAGGCGGUCUUUUAAGUGAGUUGUGAAAUCCCCGGGCUUAACCUGGGAACUGCAACUUAUACUGGGAGACUGGAGUACUGUAGAGGGUAGUGGAAUUUCCGGUGUAGCGGUGAAAUGCGUAGAGAUCGGAAGGAACACCAGUGGCGAAGGCGGCUACCUGGACAGAUACUGACGCUGAGGCGCGAGAGCGUGGGGAG
Molecule: ribosomal RNA, 245 nt
Filed under: uncultured bacterium
Lineage: Bacteria
Description: partial 16S ribosomal RNA
Rfam family: Bacterial small subunit ribosomal RNA
Source: RNAcentral